RNAcentral lists this ribosomal RNA (690 nucleotides) under Bacillus thuringiensis. RNAcentral's name for it is "bacterial SSU rRNA". It matches the Rfam family "Bacterial small subunit ribosomal RNA", at positions 558 to 1249 of the family's 1533-position model. The record is from RNAcentral. Lineage: Bacteria; Bacillati; Bacillota; Bacilli; Caryophanales; Bacillaceae.
GCGUAAGCGCGCGCAGGUGGUUUCUUAAGUCUGAUGUGAAAUCCCACGGCUCAACCGGGGAACUGCAUUGGAAACUGGGAGACUUGAGUGCUGAAGAGGAAAGUGGAAUUCCAUGUGUAGCGGUGAAAUGCGUAGAGAUAUGGAGGAACACCAGUGGCGAAGGCGACUUUCUGGACUGUAACUGACACUGAGGCGCGAAAGCGUGGGGAGCAAACAGGAUUAGAUACCCUGGUAGUCCACGCCGUAAACGAUGACUGCUUGGAGGUAGAGGGCUUCCGCCCUUUAUUGCUGAACUUAACGCAUUAAUCACUCCGCCGGGGGAGUACGGCCGCAAGGCUGAAACUCAAAGGAAUUGACGGGGGCCCGCACAACCGGGGAACCAGGUGGUUUAUUUCAAACCACCGCGAAAAACCUUACCACGCCUUGACAUCCUAUGAAAACCCUAAAGAUAGGUCUUCUCCUUCGGAACCAUAAUGACAGGGGGUGCAGGGUUGUCGUCAGCUCGGGUCGUGAGAGGUUGGGUUAAGUCCCGCAACGAGCGCAACCCUAGAUCUUAGUUGCCAUCAUUAAGUUGGGCACUCUAAGGAGACUGCCGGUGACAAACCGGAGGAAGGUGGGGAUGACGUCAAAUCAUCAUGCCCCUUAUGACCUGGGCUACACACGUGCUACAAUGGACGGUACAAAGAGCUG